UACCUUUCACCACUCCUCACCUCCUACUCUUU
This 32-nucleotide non-coding RNA is filed under the name Mus musculus (house mouse). Lineage: Eukaryota; Metazoa; Chordata; Mammalia; Rodentia; Muridae. The record is from RNAcentral.